GACGAACGCUGGCGGCGUGCCUAAUACAUGCAAGUAGAACGCUGAAGCUUGGUGCUUGCACCGAGCGGAUGAGUUGCGAACGGGUGAGUAACGCGUAGGUAACCUGCCUGGUAGCGGGGGAUAACUAUUGGAAACGAUAGCUAAUACCGCAUAAGAGUAGAUGUUGCAUGACAUUUGCUUAAAAGGUGCAAUUGCAUCACUACCAGAUGGACCUGCGUUGUAUUAGCUAGUUGGUGAGGUAACGGCUCACCAAGGCAACGAUACAUAGCCGACCUGAGAGGGUGAUCGGCCACACUGGGACGGAGACACGGCCCAGACUCCUACGGGAGGCAGCAGUAGGGAAUCUUCGGCAAUGGACGGAAGUCUGACCGAGCAACGCCGCGUGAGUGAAGAAGGGUUUCGGAUCGUAAAGCUCUGUUGUAAGAGAAGAACGAGUGUGAGAGUGGAAAGUUCACACUGUGACGGUAUCUUACCAGAAAGGGACGGCUAACUACGUG
This 497-nucleotide ribosomal RNA is filed under the name uncultured bacterium. RNAcentral's name for it is "partial 16S ribosomal RNA". It matches the Rfam family "Bacterial small subunit ribosomal RNA", at positions 28 to 507 of the family's 1533-position model. The record is from RNAcentral.